CUCCAGCUGACGAGUCCCAAACAGGACGAAAUGCGCGUCCUGGAU
This 45-nucleotide non-coding RNA is filed under the name Schistosoma mansoni. Lineage: Eukaryota; Metazoa; Platyhelminthes; Trematoda; Strigeidida; Schistosomatidae. The record is from RNAcentral.